UGACCUCACUUCUCUAUGCCCAGAGCCCCCCUCCGGACCCCCACGUCUCCCAGGGCCAUCUCCCACAAGGCCGGGUUACACCCGCCUCCUUGUUUCUUACCGACAAGGCUUGGCACAACAGCUCUGCGGAUUCGUCCCGGAAGUUAUUUCCUGUAGCGAAGUGCAGAGAAGUACAGAGAACAGACAUACUGGGAUUUGAGCGUUUUCACAGUGCAUCAAGCAGCAGGAGAGGCCGCCAGUGGCAGGUAAUGAUGACUCCCUCCUGGGAUGAUUGCAAAGACGCCACCAGGCCAGCCUCAGAGGACCUGGCAUAAAGCUGCCCCAGAGGAUGCUGCCUCGUUCCUGCUGUGGGGUGGCCCGGCGGGCCCAGGAGAGCUGAGGUCUCUAGCUUCUGAGGAUGGACGCGCACCUCCGCCCCGCCCAACUAGGUGCCCGCAGUCACCUUCGAUCUCCAAGUCUGUUUCGGAGCUCUCCCAGCCUGACUUCUCUUUCUCUGCAGCCACAGAGGCCUCAGCCUCACAGUAGAGGGCUUUGUCACUGUCCUGUGCUGCCGGCUCCGUUUUGGGUUCAUCUAGAAGAAAAACUCAUCUCCUUAAUGCUGGAAGUAAAACCUGCUGGUUGAGAGGCACCCGAGAGGUCGAAGCCCACCUGUGGCUUCUCCCCUGUUUCCCCCUCCACCUCCCCUCCUUCCUUUGCCUGCCAGGUCCUGGAGGACCUCCCCCCACCAGCCUGAUGGGGCCUAAGAUGCCAAGGAACUGCAGUGUGCAUUCAGUGUCCAUUCCACAAGCCCUCCCUCCCAGACACAAUGCCACUGCCUGACCGUCUGUAUCUUGUACGAAACCCCCCACCUCAUGCCCUCUGCAGACUCCUGGCUCCUGCCUCAUUCCCUGCCUGGGGCCUGUCUCGGAGAUUGGCACUAUUUUCCUUCUUGUUUGCUUGGGUGGGCUUCAGGGUCUGCUUUGUUCUCUCAGGGGAAGGAUGUGUGUCGAUGUCUCACUGGCAGAGGCCAAAUGAUGCUGCGGAAGGCGAGGGGCAGGCCGAGGGGGCCACUUGGGGCAAGCGUAAAAUGAACUGGAACACAAGCAGU
Molecule: long non-coding RNA, 1087 nt
Organism: Suricata suricatta (meerkat)
Lineage: Eukaryota; Metazoa; Chordata; Mammalia; Carnivora; Herpestidae
Exons: 3
Source: RefSeq, a predicted model, not a curated record